AGUGAACGCUGGCGGUAGGCCUAACACAUGCAAGUCGAACGGCAGCACAGUAAGAGCUUGCUCUUACGGGUGGCGAGUGGCGGACGGGUGAGGAAUACAUCGGAAUCUACUUUUUCGUGGGGGAUAACGUAGGGAAACUUACGCUAAUACCGCAUACGACCUACGGGUGAAAGCAGGGGAUCUUCGGACCUUGCGCGAUUGAAUGAGCCGAUGUCGGAUUAGCUAGUUGGCGGGGUAAAGGCCCACCAAGGCGACGAUCCGUAGCUGGUCUGAGAGGAUGAUCAGCCACACUGGAACUGAGACACGGUCCAGACUCCAACGGGAGGCAGCAGUGGGAAUAUUGGACAAUGGGCGCAAGCCUGAUCCAGCCAUACCGCGUGGGUGAAGAAGGCCUUCGGGUUGUAAAGCCCUUUUGUUGGGAAAGAAAAGCAGCAGGUUAAUACCCCGCUGUUCUGACGGUACCCAAAGAAUAAGCACCGGCUAACUUCGUG
Molecule: ribosomal RNA, 491 nt
Filed under: uncultured bacterium
Lineage: Bacteria
Description: partial 16S ribosomal RNA
Rfam family: Bacterial small subunit ribosomal RNA
Source: RNAcentral